AGUGAACGCUGGCGGUAGGCCUAACACAUGCAAGUCGAACGGCAGCACAGUAAGAGCUUGCUCUUACGGGUGGCGAGUGGCGGACGGGUGAGGAAUACAUCGGAAUCUACUUUUUCGUGGGGGAUAACGUAGGGAAACUUACGCUAAUACCGCAUACGACCUACGGUUGAAAGCAGUGGAUCUUCGGACCUUGCGCGAUUGAAUGAGCCGAUGUCGGAUUAGCUAGUUGGCGGGGUAAAGGCCCACCAAGGCGACGAUCCGUAGCUGGUCUGAGAGGAUGAUCAGCCACACUGGAACUGAGACACGGUCCAGACUCCUACGGGAGGCAGCAGUGGGGAAUAUUGGACAAUGGGCGCAAGCCUGAUCCAGCCAUACCGCGUGGGUGAAGAAGGCCUUCGGGUUGUAAAGCCGUUUUGUUGGGAAAGAAAAGCAGCAGGUUAAUACCCCGCUGUUCUGACGGUACCCAAAGAAUAAGCACCGGCUAACUUCGUG
Molecule: ribosomal RNA, 492 nt
Filed under: uncultured bacterium
Lineage: Bacteria
Description: partial 16S ribosomal RNA
Rfam family: Bacterial small subunit ribosomal RNA
Source: RNAcentral